UACGUAGGGUGCGAGCGUUGUCCGGAAUUACUGGGCAUAAAGAGCUCGUAGGUGGUUUGUCGCGUCGUCUGUGAAAUUCCGGGGCUCAACCCCGGACUUGCAGUGGGUACGGGCAGACUAGAGUGUGGUAGGGGAGACUGGAAUUCCUGGUGUAGCGGUGAAAUGCGCAGAUAUCAGGAGGAACACCGAUGGCGAAGGCAGGUCUCUGGGCCACUACUGACGCUGAGAAGCGAAAGCAUGGGGAGCGAACAGGAUUAGAUA
This 261-nucleotide ribosomal RNA is filed under the name uncultured prokaryote. RNAcentral describes it as "partial 16S ribosomal RNA". It matches the Rfam family "Bacterial small subunit ribosomal RNA", at positions 524 to 784 of the family's 1533-position model. The record is from RNAcentral.